CUUGAUCGAGCCGAGCCACAGCGGCCGGCCCUCCGGACGCUCCUGGCCGUAGGUCUCCAGCAGGGCGUGCGCCUC
RNAcentral lists this antisense RNA (75 nucleotides) under Streptomyces sp. NRRL S-4. RNAcentral's name for it is "ASpks sRNA". It matches the Rfam family "ASpks TB sRNA". Lineage: Bacteria; Bacillati; Actinomycetota; Actinomycetes; Kitasatosporales; Streptomycetaceae. The record is from RNAcentral.